This is a long non-coding RNA of Antechinus flavipes (yellow-footed antechinus), 766 nucleotides long. RefSeq lists it as uncharacterized. The record is from RefSeq and is a predicted model, not a curated record. The transcript is spliced from 3 exons. Lineage: Eukaryota; Metazoa; Chordata; Mammalia; Dasyuromorphia; Dasyuridae.
UGGUGAAUAAGUAGAUGUCAGAUCAAACAACAGUGCUACUCUUAGAAACUGUAAGGAAAUAUUCUGUGGGAAGAGGAGAUUGAAACUCUUGUCAAAGAGAGAUUGUAUGAUGAAGAAGAAUGUUGGAGCCACAGAGAGUCUGAAUCCCAGCUGCUUCUCAGUUUCCUCAACCUUAGAAUGGAGUUUGCAUGGCGAUUAUAAAAGCAGGAAAAAAGAAAAAAAAGUAAAUAAAGUACCCAGCGGAGAACCAAAGAACAAUAUAUAAGGAAGUAAAGAAAAAAAAUGGACAUUCAUGAAUACAAUUUCUUCCACUAAUGUAUUCACUUUCUUGAUUUGGUAAUUUGUUGUUAUAUAUUUUGAAUCCUCCCUGAUGUUCUGCCGGAUACAUGACAAUAUUCUCUUUGGGCUUGUUUUAUUUUGUUUUCUAGUUCUUUUCUGUUUAUCUUUUUUUUUUUUUUUUUACUUUUUUCCAAUAAAAUAAAUUUAAAAACUAGAAAAAAAAAAGAAAAAGUAUGCCUUCCUCUCUUUUCUGAAGAAGUACAGGAUUCUGGAUGUGGAAUAUACUAAAUAUUGUCAGAAACAAUCAAUAUUUUGAUUAGAUUUACUGAACUCUUGCCUUGGGGCAACUAGCUGAUAUACUAGUAUAGAAUGUUAGACCUGGAGUCAAGAAGACCUGAGUUCAAAUCCAGCCUCAAACACAUAAUAACUGUGGGACCCUGGGCAAGUCACCUAAAAAACAAAGUUAGUUUGCUUCAGUUUCCCCAAG